UGGUGGAGUGAUUUGUCUGGUUAAUUCCUUUAACGAACGAGACCUCAGCCUAUUAAUUAGUUCACGCAAUGUUUCAUUGCUUGAAUUUCUUAGAGGGACUAUCGGUUUUUAGCCGAAGGAAGUAUGAGGCAAUAACA
Molecule: ribosomal RNA, 137 nt
Filed under: uncultured eukaryote
Lineage: Eukaryota
Description: partial 18S ribosomal RNA
Rfam family: Eukaryotic small subunit ribosomal RNA
Source: RNAcentral